RNAcentral lists this ribosomal RNA (484 nucleotides) under uncultured bacterium. RNAcentral's name for it is "partial 16S ribosomal RNA". It matches the Rfam family "Bacterial small subunit ribosomal RNA", at positions 36 to 507 of the family's 1533-position model. The record is from RNAcentral.
CUUUCCCUCUUUCCUCCGGCCUCCCCCCUGCACGUCGAGCGGAUGAAGGGAGCUUGCUCCUGGAUUCAGCGGCGGACGGGUGAGUAAUGCCUAGGAAUCUGCCUGGUAGUGGGGGAUAACGUCCGGAAACGGGCGCUAAUACCGCAUACGUCCUGAGGGAGAAAGUGGGGGAUCUUCGGACCUCACGCUAUCGGAUGAGCCUAGGUCGGAUUAGCUAGUUGGUGGGGUAAAGGCCUACCAAGGCGACGAUCCGUAACUGGUCUGAGAGGAUGAUCAGUCACACUGGAACUGAGACACGGUCCAGACUCCUACGGGAGGCAGCAGUGGGGAAUAUUGGACAAUGGGCGAAAGCCUGAUCCAGCCAUGCCGCGUGUGUGAAGAAGGUCUUCGGAUUGUAAAGCACUUUAAGUUGGGAGGAAGGGCAGUAAGUUAAUACCUUGCUGUUUUGACGUUACCAACAGAAUAAGCACCGGCUAACUUCGUG